Molecule: ribosomal RNA, 995 nt
Filed under: uncultured organism
Description: bacterial SSU rRNA
Rfam family: Bacterial small subunit ribosomal RNA
Source: RNAcentral
UGGGGAAUAUUGCACAAUGGGGGAAACCCUGAUGCAGCGACGCCGCGUGGAGGAAGAAGGUCUUCGGAUUGUAAACUCCUGUUGUUGGGGAAGAUAAUGACGGUACCCAACAAGGAAGUGACGGCUAACUACGUGCCAGCAGCCGCGGUAAAACGUAGGUCACAAGCGUUGUCCGGAAUUACUGGGUGUAAAGGGAGCGCAGGCGGGAAGACAAGUUGGAAGUGAAAUCUAUGGGCUCAACCCAUAAACUGCUUUCAAAACUGUUUUUCUUGAGUAGUGCAGAGGUAGGCGGAAUUCCCGGUGUAGCGGUGGAAUGCGUAGAUAUCGGGAGGAACACCAGUGGCGAAGGCGGCCUACUGGGCACCAACUGACGCUGAGGCUCGAAAGUGUGGGUAGCAAACAGGAUUAGAUACCCUGGUAGUCCACACCGUAAACGAUGAUUACUAGGUGUUGGAGGAUUGACCCCUUCAGUGCCGCAGUUAACACAAUAAGUAAUCCACCUGGGGAGUACGACCGCAAGGUUGAAACUCAAAGGAAUUGACGGGGGCCCGCACAAGCAGUGGAGUAUGUGGUUUAAUUCGACGCAACGCGAAGAACCUUACCAAGUCUUGACAUCCGUUGACCGCUGUAGAAAUACAGUUUUCCUUCGGGACAGCGAGACAGGUGGUGCAUGGUUGUCGUCAGCUCGUGUCGUGAGAUGUUGGGUUAAGUCCCGCAACGAGCGCAACCCUUAUGGUCAGUUACUACGCAAGAGGACUCUGGCCAGACUGCCGUUGACAAAACGGAGGAAGGUGGGGAUGACGUCAAAUCAUCAUGCCCUUUAUGACUUGGGCUACACACGUACUACAAUGGCGUUAAACAAAGAGAAGCAAGACCGCGAGGUGGAGCAAAACUCAGAAACAACGUCCCAGUUCGGACUGCAGGCUGCAACUCGCCUGCACGAAGUCGGAAUUGCUAGUAAUCGUGGAUCAGCAUGCCACGGUGAAUACGUUCCC